This is a long non-coding RNA of Beta vulgaris subsp. vulgaris (sugar beet), 257 nucleotides long. RefSeq lists it as uncharacterized. The transcript is spliced from 3 exons. The record is from RefSeq and is a predicted model, not a curated record. Lineage: Eukaryota; Viridiplantae; Streptophyta; Magnoliopsida; Caryophyllales; Amaranthaceae.
UUCUCGCACGUUCUACCAAUUUUUGGUCUUGCCAUUUUGGUUUCUCAAAGACAUUCAAAUAUCAGAAAAGGUAAAGCAAACUCUCCUUGAGUGUGCAAUUAUCUCAGGUAUAUUUGAUGUAUGGAUGCAUCAUCACCAGUGCAGUUGCCUUUAUGGUAUUAUGUGUUACAAUACAAAGGCGGCAUCUGAUGGUAUGGGGAUUAUUUGCCCCAAAAUAUGUUUUUGACGUGGUGGGUCUUAUCCUGACAGACGUCCUU